GACACUGGCUGCUCCCUUCACAGUUCUCAGCCCGAGCUCUACCUCAGUGUCUGGAACUCACGGGCACUUGUUCCCAGAGGUGAUGAUAUGUGCACAAAUUUGAGAGAAGAUCCUUUCUGGCAAAGGUGAGGAGCAGCAGUUUUCAUCAGUGGAAGAGCCUUUGAGAAGUCUGACUGUAAAGGAGAGUUUCAGAAUUGCCAGGUACCUGUACCUUGAAAUAGUAUGAGAGGACUUGGACGAGAUGGAGAUGACCACUAAAUACCCUGCUGGAGUGAGGAUCUCGGCCACACGGUAAUCCACAGAGCUGCAUGCACUCGUACUACCACGCCCCUGCCGGGAUGGCAGCACACCCUGAGCACGGGUUACUGUCCCCGCAUGCCUAGACCGUGGGCCUAAGCUAUUUGAGGCAAAUAUAUACAUACAUUAAAAAUGCCCGCUU
Molecule: long non-coding RNA, 439 nt
Organism: Tupaia belangeri chinensis (Chinese tree shrew)
Lineage: Eukaryota; Metazoa; Chordata; Mammalia; Scandentia; Tupaiidae
Exons: 3
Source: RefSeq, a predicted model, not a curated record